UGGGCGCAGCCUGAUGCAGCCAUGCCGCGUGUAUGAAGAAGGCCUUCGGGUUGUAAAGUACUUUCAGUAGGGAGGAAGGUUCAUGCGUUAAUAGCGUAUGGAUUUGACGUUACCUACAGAAGAAGCACCGGCUAACUCCGUGCCAGCAGCCGCGGUAAUACGGAGGGUGCGAGCGUUAAUCGGAAUUACUGGGCGUAAAGCGCAUGCAGGUGGUUAGUUAAGUCAGAUGUGAAAGCCCGGGGCUCAACCUCGGAAUUGCAUUUGAAACUGGCUGACUAGAGUACUGUAGAGGGGGGUAGAAUUUCAGGUGUAGCGGUGAAAUGCGUAGAGAUCUGAAGGAAUACCGGUGGCGAAGGCGGCCCCCUGGACAGAUACUGACACUCAGAUGCGAAAGCGUGGGGAGCAAACAGGAUUAGAUACCCUGGUAGUCCACGCCGUAAACGAUGUCUACUUGGAGGUUGUGGCCUUGAGCCGUGGCUUUCGGAGCUAACGCGUUAAGAAGACCGCGCUGGGGAGUACGGUCGCAAGAUUAAAACUCAAUGAAUUGACGGGGGCCCGCACAAGCGGUGGAGCAUGUGGUUUUAAUUCGAUGCAACGCGAAGAACCUUACCUACUCUUGACAUCCAUAGAACUUAGCAGAGAUGCUUUGGUGCCUUCGGGAACUAUGAGACAGGUGCUGCAUGGCUGUCGUCAGCUCGUGUUGUGAAAUGUUGGGUUAAGUCCCGCAACGAGCGCAACCCUUAUCCUGUUUGCCAGCGAGUAUGUCGGGAACCCCAGGAGACUGCGUGAUAAACGAGAGGUGGGGACGACGUCAGUCAUCAUGCCUA
This 827-nucleotide ribosomal RNA is filed under the name Vibrio ponticus. RNAcentral describes it as "bacterial SSU rRNA". It matches the Rfam family "Bacterial small subunit ribosomal RNA", at positions 372 to 1202 of the family's 1533-position model. Lineage: Bacteria; Pseudomonadati; Pseudomonadota; Gammaproteobacteria; Vibrionales; Vibrionaceae. The record is from RNAcentral.